GUUGCAGGGAAAAUUCUAUCAUUUGCUCAGAAGGGUCCUAGAGGAAUUUGUAUUCUGUCUGCCAAUGGAGCUGUUUCUAAUGUCACCAUUCGCCAACCAGGUUCAUCUGGUGGUAUUUUGACAUAUGAGGGCCGUUUUGAGAUACUUUCAUUAUCUGGGUCAUUCACAGUCACUGAAACUGGUGGUGUGAGAAGUAGGACUGGUGGACUGAGUGUAUCGUUGGCUAGCCCUGACGGNNNNUAGGCGGUGGCAUUGCAGGACUCUUGUUGGCAGCCAGCCCUAUCCAAAUUGUUGUAGGCAGCUUCAUGCCAAAUGGUUACAAGGCACACAAAAGAAAGC
This 339-nucleotide unclassified non-coding RNA is filed under the name Hevea brasiliensis (rubber tree). Lineage: Eukaryota; Viridiplantae; Streptophyta; Magnoliopsida; Malpighiales; Euphorbiaceae. The record is from RNAcentral.